This 198-nucleotide ribosomal RNA is filed under the name uncultured bacterium. RNAcentral describes it as "partial 16S ribosomal RNA". It matches the Rfam family "Bacterial small subunit ribosomal RNA", at positions 1303 to 1500 of the family's 1533-position model. The record is from RNAcentral.
GGCUGAAAUUAGCCUUCAUGAAGCUGGAAUUGCUAGUAAUGGCAGGUCAGCAUACUGCCGUGAAUACGUUCCCGGGCCUUGUACACACCGCCCGUCACACCAUGAGAGUUGGAAAUACCCGAAGCCUGUGAGCUAACAGUAAUGAGGCAGCAGUCGAAGGUAGAGCCAAUGAUUGGGGUGAAGUCGUAACAAGGUACC